This 509-nucleotide ribosomal RNA is filed under the name uncultured bacterium. RNAcentral's name for it is "bacterial SSU rRNA". It matches the Rfam family "Bacterial small subunit ribosomal RNA", at positions 897 to 1406 of the family's 1533-position model. The record is from RNAcentral.
AAACUCAAAGGAAUAGACGGGGACCCGCCAAGUGGUGGAGCAUGUGGUUUAAUUUGAGAUACGCGAAGAACCUUCCCUAGCCCUGACAUAUUUGAAAAUCCCCCCAGAGANGGAGGAGUGCCUUCGGGAGUUCAUAUAACAGGUGCUGCACGGCUGUCGUCAGCUCGUGUCGUGAGAUGUUGGGUUAAGUCCCGCAACGAGCGCAACCCUCGUCACUAGUUACUAACGAUUCGGUCGAGGACUCUAGUGAGACUGCCUUCGCAAGAAGGAGGAAGGUGAGGACGACGUCAAGUCAUCAUGGCCCUUACGGCUAGGGCAACACACGUGCUACAAUGGCCAGGACAGUGAGAAGCGAUACCGCGAGGUGGAGCAAAUCUAUAAACCUGGUCUCAGUUCGGAUUGUAGUGUGCAACUCGACUACAUGAAGCUGGAAUCACUAGUAAUCGUAGAUCAGCUAUGCUACGGUGAAUACGUUCCCGGGUCUUGUACUCACCGCCCGUCACACCAGG